Molecule: long non-coding RNA, 2087 nt
Organism: Equus asinus (donkey)
Lineage: Eukaryota; Metazoa; Chordata; Mammalia; Perissodactyla; Equidae
Source: Ensembl
GCAGGAGAUUUUUUAAUGCUCUCUAGGUGAUUCUGAUGUCAGCAAAGAUGGAGAACCACUGAUGUAGUCAAUGAGAAGUAAUAGGGGUUAUUUUUCAGAACAGCGUUUUGAGUUAAUUUGAAAGGAGGGAAAAUCUCAGGGCGAAGGUUAUUGUGGUGAGGUUAUAAGCUGUGUGUUGCAAUGCGCGUGGCGGAGCUGCGCUUCCAAAGAGGCUGGCUCAGUGGGGCUGCGGUGAUGUCUCCUUCCAGGUCCCAGCAUGGAUGACCCUGUUCUUCUUGGGGCUUUUCUUCAAAGCGCUCCACCUGGUUUUGCAAAUAACUAUUACAGACCUUUCCUGCAGCAAGUCUAGGGGAGACAAGUCAAACAACGGCAGCAGAUGUUCUCCAGCCUUCGAAACCAACGAGUCUCCACACUUGUCAGCUGACGUGGCUCACAGGGUCCAGGAUUAACAGCACAGGCCUCUGUGAUUUGUCUGGUGAAGUAACACGGCAGCUCACAGAGGUUUAAUCAUUGCCCACUGGCCCCACCAAAAUAGCACAGGAGAUUAUGAAACUCCUUAUGCUUCACAGAGUGACAGCUGUGUGGCCCUCGUAGACUCCUCUCCCUCGAGAUCCACUCAGGAGGACUCUGCUGGGCUGUUCUCACAGUCUCGGCGGCUUAGCCAAGGAAGAGCUUCAUUUCUCGGGGCUGGGCUCACACUAUGUGCAUCCCGAGCCCACUUCCUAGGCCUGAGGCCUUCCUGGCAGCUCCUCCUAACUGCCGGGCUGGCUGUUCUCAGGAAGGAGCCUACAGGGACACAUCUCAGCUGCACGUUCUCACAUAUGCCCAAGGCUGCCAAGCAGCGUCCAGUGAGCUGUGUGCUGGAGGCUGUGCCCAGGCUCCCCUGCCAAGCCCCCAGGCCCUUAAUGAGGGGUGGGACCCAUGGGAGUUGUUUGCAUUAGUCCAUGGCAGCAUCCUCAGCAGCCCACCAUGAACCUUUCCUGGGCCUGAGUUAACGACCUGCUAUGGCUCCCACUUGCCUCCCAGCCAGGCCAGUGGGUUCCUUCCCAGCACCAGCCUGCUCUGCAAUUCAGACCAGGGCACACUUCAACCCAGACACUCAAAGAUGCCCUCCUGAGUCGUGGCACCCAGGUUAGCAUAUGGUCCUCUAGAAAGGGGACUGGGAAACUGCCCAGCAUGGAGUCCAAAUUCAGCUAGUAAAGAUGGGAAGACAAUUUUCUUCUGGAUCCCGCUAUUGACUUCCUUCAGCAGUUCUCAGAAAACUACAGUUGGACAGAGAAGUGCCAGUUUCUGUCUGCCUUUGGACAGAACCUGCUAUACCUCUACUAAAUGACCAUCUGGCUCCAGACCCCUCAGGGUCAGCUGAUUCCCGUAAAUCCAUGGUCUUCCAUCAGGGAGGUUCAUGGGACUCCCCAUCAGGGAGGGGGAACGGGCUCCACCGGCCGAGAUUUGAGUUCGAUGAGUCUGGGUCAGGGUUGACACACAGUUCCUCACCCCCAUAACCCAAAGCCUUGAAUUUCAUAGACAUAAAGGAAAGACAGAAGGGAACUUGAGAAAUGAUCUCAGUUGACAGAAGACAGUCUCACCCGAUAGGGGACCAUCAGCUCACGGGUUUCAGCUAAAGAUCAGCAGAGGUGACAUGCUGCAGAGCCGAAUGGAGCAAGUAAUUGGCACUUCUCCGGCCUGCUUCAUCCUCUCCUUCGCUGGAGAGACAUCACUAGAUAUCAGGAAUCACUAGGCAGGAAUCUCCUCAUAAUUAGUCCCCAGGACAGCCAAGUUCUUGCCACCUGGGGAACAAAGGCAACCCCUGGGGUCUGUCAGGUGCAACUCACGGCCAGGACCUCAGUGGGAGGCUGGCUAGAGGCAGCCACCCCAAAGCCAGAGGACUCACCCCUCCUAAAGGGAUGCUGCGCUCAGUCCUGAUGGGGACGGGGGCAGGGGAUGUGUGCGGGGACAGCCUGACCAUAGCUCAGCAGGAAGCAAGCCAUGUAUUUAUUUAUGGUGAGGACCACAUUUCACCCUCGGUUUAGCUGGCUCCAAGCGAGCAGUGCAAUCUCAGCUCUGGGAGGAAGUUUGUGGUUCGCUUU